UACGGAGGGUGCAAGCGUUGCUCGGAAUUAUUGGGCGUAAAGGGUAGGUAGGUGGUCUUAUUUGUCUGGGGUGAAAGCCUUGAGCUUAACUCAAGAAGUGCCCCAGAAACGGUAAGACUCGAGUCCUGGAGAGGGUUGUGGAAUUCCCGGUGUAGCGGUGAAAUGCGUAGAGAUCGGGAGGAACACCAGAGGCGAAAGCGGCAACCUGGACAGGCACUGACACUCAACUACGAAAGCGUGGGGAGCAAACAGG
Molecule: ribosomal RNA, 253 nt
Filed under: uncultured bacterium
Lineage: Bacteria
Description: partial 16S ribosomal RNA
Rfam family: Bacterial small subunit ribosomal RNA
Source: RNAcentral